Molecule: microRNA precursor, 88 nt
Organism: Caenorhabditis elegans
Lineage: Eukaryota; Metazoa; Nematoda; Chromadorea; Rhabditida; Rhabditidae
Source: Ensembl
UUCGACGUCCACGUGGCACAAUCUGCGUACGUAGAAAGAUCAAAAAGUCACUUCUAUGUACAAAUGUUGCGCUGCCUGGCACAGUGAA